UGAGGAACAUGACCAUCGGCGGGGGAUAGCCGGCCCAACGGCCGGGUAAUACCGCGUACGUCGGCGGGAGCGCAUGCUCCUGCCGGGAAAGCAGCAACGCACCGAUGGAGGAUCUCGCGGCCUAUCAGCUUGUUGGUGAGGUCACGGCUCACCAAGGCGACGACGGGUAGCUGGUCUGAGAGGAUGAUCAGCCACUAGUUGGGACUGAGACACCGGACCCCAAAUCCCGUAACGGGG
This 237-nucleotide ribosomal RNA is filed under the name uncultured bacterium. RNAcentral describes it as "partial 16S ribosomal RNA". It matches the Rfam family "Bacterial small subunit ribosomal RNA", at positions 118 to 346 of the family's 1533-position model. The record is from RNAcentral.